CAGAACGGAGAAAGCCUUUGGUCAUGAGAUACUUGUGAGAAAGAGAGCCUUGUAUGGAAGAUUCCCCUGAAUGCCUACAGUAUUCUACAUCUUAAAAAAAUAUAUUGUGGACGCUGCAGCCAUACAAAGGGGAGGAGGAGUGGGAGAUGGGGAUUUACAGUCUCACAUAGACACAACGGGGAGGUUAAGACAAGCACAGUCAUAGUCUGUAAAACUGAUUGGCUCGCUGGGAUCAGUCAUCCUCAUCAUCCUCUUCGUCUUCUGGGUCUUCCUCUCCUUCAUCCUCUAGAUUUCGUUUUCUCUUCUCCCCUCGUGGAAGGUCAUCAUCAGCUUCAUCAUCUUCUUCAUCCUCACCAUCUUCCUCCUCAUCUUCCUCCUCGUCAUCUACUCCAUCCUCCUCCUCUUCACCUUCCAGAUCAUCAUCUUCAUCAUCUUCUUCAUCAAUGACUUCUUCAUCCAAGUCAUCUUCCUCAUCAUCAUCCUCCUCUUCCUCACCUUCCCCAUUCUCAUACUCGUCUUCCAGUCCAUCCCCAUCUGCCUCAGGGUCUGAGUCGGGGGCUUCCUGCUCAUCAGCAUCAAAUCCAUCUAGGUAUGUGAGCUGGGGAAGAAGGGUGAACACACUCUCCCGGUAGUUGAUGAGCAUCGUCACCUCGCAGUUGAAGAGGUCCAGACUAUGCAGGUUUGGCAACUUUUUCAAGGGUUCCAGGGUAUUGAUGUCUUUGAUCUUGUUGCCACUUAGAUUCAAGUGUGUCAGGUUAGGAGUUCUCUCUGCUAGAACUUCAAGGCCACCAGAAAUCCGGUUAUCACUCAGCUCCAGCUUUCGGAGCUUGUUAAGUUUGGGGAGAUUGGAGAUGGACAGCAGGUUGACGUUGAUCAUGCUGAGGAACUCCAGGUUCUCAAAAUCUGAAGAGAGCCCAACGAUCUUCCCAUCAUCUGAACGGCAGUUAUCAAGGACCAGCUCUUUCACCUCUCCAGGCUUCUUGUUGCGCAGCUCCAGCGUGAGCCGCUUUUUCAUCUCCAUCCUCCCACCGCCGCCGUGCCGGCCUGAGCCGAGCCGAACCGAGCAGAGCUAAAAGCGAGCCCGCCGGAGCCGAGCCGAGCCGAGCCCGCCGGAGCCCGCGCGCCGCCGCCGCCGCCGCUUAUAUAGAGGAAGGCGCCAACGGCAACAAAGGCGGCGCGCCACGCGCCCCCUGGCGGCUCCGCGCCCCUCCGCGCCGCGCCGCCCCGGACCCCGCCGCGCC
This 1241-nucleotide long non-coding RNA is filed under the name Gallus gallus (chicken). The record is from RNAcentral. Lineage: Eukaryota; Metazoa; Chordata; Aves; Galliformes; Phasianidae.